AAAUUCUGGUUUAUUUUUACAAACAGCCCAUGCAAUUCUGAUAUUAAAUCUCAAAUGAAUAAAAGUAUCAGACGACCUGAUAUACACCCACACCUGCACUGACAUACCACGUAGAAAAGAGACUAAUAAAUCCAAGACUGAGUUUUAAUAGAAGACCCUAUGUUUGACAAGUUUGUCCCAACCCCUUUUCAACAGGGCACAUGGCGCCAACACGCCAGACUGGUUAUAAGAAUAGCAGAGGGGUUAGCUGGUUUCCUGGCCCAAAAAAGUGACAAAGUACUGUUAGAAUGAGCGGAUCGCCUUAUUAGAACAAACACACAGUCUUAAGAAGCAGUAUGUGGUUAUCUCUGUGGUGUGGUCCUUAUAUAGUUAGUUAAAUUCAACAUCCUCACAAAUGCUGUUGGGUUAGAUCCGCAGUUUUUUAUGGUAAACACUAGUUAGAUCCCCAGAUGGGAUCUAUGUAUAGUAACAAUUUCUGUCUCCCCUCAGUUGAAUAGGGUAAGAAAACGGUGAGAGGGACUUUGUUAGCUGAAAAGAGUAAAAUGCAGACUUACAAUUCUAUGAUAAAAUUAAGCAUUUGUGAGGAAUCUAUUUCGGUGAUCCAUCAUUAUUGGUUGUUUGUAUUAGAAGUAUAAAGCAGGUCAAGGAGCAAGCUAGCAUUAAUCAUUUAGCAUUAAUCCCACUACUGUCAUAUCGCUUUCACCAGUGCUGAGAGUCUAUAAAAAAUAACAAAAAUAAAACCUCUCCACCAAUUCAUUUCUUUUUUUUAUGACCCAGCCUUGUUCAGUAGAGCCUCUGUUUUGAACUCUGUUUUCUUGUUUUUAGACAGUGUAUUUUAUUUACACAUUUAGAUUUCAAUGUAGGCCCUAACAAUAAACACUAAGACUAGUAUCAGGAAGAGAGAGGAACCGUUUAAUUUUUCAUUAUGAAGUACAUUUUGUUUCUGUCUUAGUACACUGUUGGAGGAAAUGUUGCCUUAGAGGUUGCUAAUAUGAAUAGAUUGUUCUUAUUAUUAUUAUUAUUAAGGGAAGACAAAUACAUGAGUCUUAAUUAGAAUCAGUGUUAGCCUGUUUAGCAUUUUUAUUCCUAGUUCUUAAUUCCUAGUUGUUACAAACUGGGCCAUGUUAUUCUCUCUUUAAAAAAAAAAAGGGAGGAAUACAUGCAAUUAAGAAAUUACAGAUACAAGAAUGGAGUUAGUUAAAUACACACCUCCCUAGUUAAGAUUCCAACUUUGUGUUGUGCGAGAUUCCAUCUUUGUUUCCCACAAAGUAGGAGUCCUGAUUCCUGAAUCACUGAUAGACCUGAUACACCUUGUCCAAUGGCACCUGUGACCCAGAUCAUUUUAGGGCAAAACCAAGCCCAGAUCUAUGAGGCAGCCAGGACACUGACGGUUCCUGCUUCACCAAAACCAAGGAGAGGUGGGGGACAGACUCAUGUACAACAGACAGUCCAAGGCUGGACCAUUACUGGCAACCACCACAGCCAGAGGAGCUGAGCUCUAUGAAGGAGAGGACGGUGUGGCAGACCUCUAGCCCAAUGCAUGGAGACGAAUUGAGAACAAUCAUGUGAAGUGAAACCUCCUGCAACUUUUCCCUUUGGCACCUUUUGAGUUCCAGAAACAGAUUUCUGGCAUAACGGACAUUUGUUCUGGAAAGGCGGAAGGCCUGACCACCUUGGUAUAUCUGGAAAAUAUCUCCAGUCCUACGGUGAGACAGAACAACUCUACUUGAAAUUGAACCUUGAGCCUUCUGAGACUGUGUGUACAACAUCAAGACUGCGGCAAAGAGGCCUUUUGGGUCAAUAUCAAUAGACGAG
Esox lucius (northern pike) is the source of this 1815-nucleotide long non-coding RNA. The record is from Ensembl. Lineage: Eukaryota; Metazoa; Chordata; Actinopteri; Esociformes; Esocidae.